Molecule: ribosomal RNA, 120 nt
Filed under: Branchiostoma floridae (Florida lancelet)
Lineage: Eukaryota; Metazoa; Chordata; Leptocardii; Amphioxiformes; Branchiostomatidae
Source: RNAcentral
UAGUAUGGCCCCGUGGCACGUGGGACACACACGAUCCCUCGAUCUCGGAAGUUAAGCAACGUGCAGUUCAGACAGUUCUUGGAUGGGAGACCACCCAAGGAUGACCAGAUGCUAUAGCCG